GGUCAAUAAUGACAACCCAACAUGGUGAAAGAAAUGAUGACAUUGAAAUCAUGCUUAAUAGGAUGACACUGAGGCAC
Molecule: small nucleolar RNA, 77 nt
Organism: Grammomys surdaster
Lineage: Eukaryota; Metazoa; Chordata; Mammalia; Rodentia; Muridae
Product: small nucleolar RNA SNORD115
Exons: 1
Source: RefSeq, a predicted model, not a curated record